UACGGGAGGCAGCAGUGGGGAAUAUUGCACAAUGGGCGAAAGCCUGAUGCAGCUAUGCCGCGUGUAUGAAGAAGGCCUUAGGGUUGUAAAGUACUUUCAUCGGGGAGGAAAAACAAAACUAAUAAUUUUAUUUCUUGACGUUACCCGAAAAAGAAGCACCGGCUAACUCCGUGCCAGCAGCCGCGGUAAUACGGAGGGUGCUAGCGUUAAUCAGAAUUACUGGGCGUAAAGAGCACGUAGGUGGUUUUUUUAAGUCAGAUGUGAAAUCCCUGGGCUUAACCUAGGAACUGCAUUUUGAAACUGAAAUACUAGAGUAUCGUAGAGGGAGGUAGAAUUCUAGGUGUAGCGGUGAAAUGCGUAGAUAUCUGGAGGAAUACCUGUGGCGAAAGCGGCCUCUAAACGAAUACUGACACUGAGUGCGAAAGCGUGGGGAGCAAACAGGGAUUAGAUACC
This 453-nucleotide ribosomal RNA is filed under the name uncultured bacterium. RNAcentral describes it as "bacterial SSU rRNA". It matches the Rfam family "Bacterial small subunit ribosomal RNA", at positions 340 to 786 of the family's 1533-position model. The record is from RNAcentral.